Lagenorhynchus albirostris (white-beaked dolphin) is the source of this 683-nucleotide long non-coding RNA. RefSeq lists it as uncharacterized. NCBI's taxonomy places the organism in Eukaryota, Metazoa, Chordata, Mammalia, Artiodactyla, Delphinidae. The record is from RefSeq and is a predicted model, not a curated record. The transcript is spliced from 3 exons.
CCUGGCCUUCAGCGGGGAAGCGGGCGACACGGGUAGGAGCGGUGGCCCGGGUGGUUUGGGAAGCCUGCCGGCAGGCCGGGGUGGCACCCUUGGAAGGAACAGGUGGUGCGGAUGCGGCACAGCUCAUUCAUUGCCCAAGCGCGGCUCUCCCUCCAUCGUCCGUCCCUCCCUCUUCCUCUCCUCUUGGGAGUCACCUGUCCCCGCCCGGCUCGGGGUCACUGAAUGACCUGGGAGGAGGGAAGGAAGAAAGGCGUUCAGAAGAGGAGAGGAAGGCUUCUAAACGACAGCCUCGAUGGAGUCAGUAGGAAUGCUGAGAUCUGCAGCUUCUCGGCCUCUUUACCUCCUUUCAGGAAGAGAUCUCAUUGAAGAUUACAAGAUCACCUUUGGUUAUCAGUGCUUGGGAACUGAGUCAGAAUCUUUAAGAAGAGGGAAAUGAAGCAAGAUGACAAACAGAAUACUAUGGCAUUCAUUCCAUACCAAGGGAACCAUUUAUUUAUAAUUCUGAAAUUUCAAGAACUCCCCAAAUACAAGAAUUUCAGAGAUGGGAUUAUAGACAUGUAUUUUUAUUUAAUUUUAUGAUUCUACUAUGGAGAACUUAACAUGUCUGCCACAAUGUUGUUUUACAAAGCCUGUUUUAAAUGAAUUGAUGUGAAACCUUUGCUCAAAGUAUACUGUAUGUAGUA